RNAcentral lists this ribosomal RNA (497 nucleotides) under uncultured bacterium. RNAcentral's name for it is "partial 16S ribosomal RNA". It matches the Rfam family "Bacterial small subunit ribosomal RNA", at positions 28 to 507 of the family's 1533-position model. The record is from RNAcentral.
GAUGAACGCUGGCGGCGUGCCUAAUACAUGCAAGUCGAGCGAACAGACGAGGAGCUUGCUCCUCUGACGUUAGCGGCGGACGGGUGAGUAACACGUGGAUAACCUACCUAUAAGAAUGGGAUAACUUCGGGAAACCGGAGCUAAUACCGGAUAAUAUAUUGAACCGCAUGGUGCAAUAGUGAAAGACGGUUUUGCUGUCACUUAUAGAUGGAUCCGCGCCGCAUUAGCUAGUUGGUAAGGUAACGGCUUACCAAGGCGACGAUGCGUAGCCGACCUGAGAGGGUGAUCGGCCACACUGGAACUGAGACACGGUCCAGACUCCUACGGGAGGCAGCAGUAGGGAAUCUUCCGCAAUGGGCGAAAGCCUGACGGAGCAACGCCGCGUGAGUGAUGAAGGUCUUCGGAUCGUAAAACUCUGUUAUUAGGGAAGAACAAAUGUGUAAGUAGCUAUGCACGUCUUGACGGUACCUAAUCAGAAAGCCACGGCUAACUACGUG